UAUAUCGGCUUACAUACAUAAUGGUCCGCAACAAGGCCAGUGCUGCCCUCUACUGGAUUCUCUUAAUAUUUCUAGUGCUACUCUUCUCUUCCGACAUAGCAUUCGCCAGAGUUUCACCAUUUUCAACAAACAAAGAGAACACCAGGCUGCACUGGCAAAUGAAAAGAGAUGUAAAUAGUCCUCAUGAUCCUGGCCGAGGGAACCACCCUGAAUACCGACCCCCACCACCUGGCCGCAUUGUUUGACCCAAUGGUAGUAGGUUAUCUCAAUCCCAGCCGUAUGUGGAAUUGUUUCUGCCUUCGUUUCCGAUCUUCAAGCUUUUGUUUUUGUACUUCGGGAUUAUUAUUAUUAUUUUUUAAAUAAGAUUGUACUUCUAGAAUUUGGUUUAAGUGUUGGGUCUAUCCUUAGGUGUUCAGACAUAAAACAAACAUAUCAUGUAUUAUUAUUAUUUUUUUUAAAUUAAAUAGAAGAUUAGGUGAUAACAAAUCAUGUAUUAUUAUAUAAAAAAAAUAAUAAUAAAACAAUGAGUGUGUCACACUAUUGGUUCUUUUGGAA
Molecule: long non-coding RNA, 555 nt
Organism: Rosa chinensis
Lineage: Eukaryota; Viridiplantae; Streptophyta; Magnoliopsida; Rosales; Rosaceae
Exons: 3
Source: RefSeq, a predicted model, not a curated record